Pecten maximus is the source of this 116-nucleotide small nuclear RNA. RefSeq annotates it as U5 spliceosomal RNA. The record is from RefSeq and is a predicted model, not a curated record. The transcript has a single exon. Lineage: Eukaryota; Metazoa; Mollusca; Bivalvia; Pectinida; Pectinidae.
GCAGUCUGAUUCCAUUUCACUCCACAAAUAAAUCUUUCGUCUUUUACUAAAGAUUUCCGUGGAGAGGAACAUUUGAUGAAUCUAUAGACUAUAUUUUUAACCCUGUAAUACAGGGU